GUUCGGACUGUAGUCUGCAACCCGACUACACGAAGCUGGAAUCGCUAGUAAUCGCGGAUCAGAAUGCCGCGGUGAAUACGUUCCCGGGUCUUGUACACACCGCCCGUCACACCAUGGGAGUCAGUAACGCCCGAAGUCAGUGACCCAACCGAAAGGGAGGAGCUGCCGAAGGCGGGACGGAUGACUGGGGUGAAGUCGUAACAAGGUACC
Molecule: ribosomal RNA, 210 nt
Filed under: uncultured bacterium
Lineage: Bacteria
Description: partial 16S ribosomal RNA
Rfam family: Bacterial small subunit ribosomal RNA
Source: RNAcentral